RNAcentral lists this ribosomal RNA (489 nucleotides) under uncultured marine Syndiniales. Its description in RNAcentral is "SSU rRNA". It matches the Rfam family "Eukaryotic small subunit ribosomal RNA", at positions 633 to 1127 of the family's 1831-position model. Lineage: Eukaryota; Dinophyceae; Syndiniales. The record is from RNAcentral.
GUUGGAUUCUGUCGAAAACGGCCGGUCCGCACUAUGUGCGUGUAUCUGGUUCGGUUUUGGCAUCCUCAUGAAGAACGUAACUGCGCUUGAUUGCGUGGUGCGGAAUUCAUGACUUUUACUUUGAGGAAAUUAGAGUGUUCACGGCAGGGAAGCGCCUUGAAUAUAUUAGCAUGGAAUAAUAAUAUAGGACCUUGGUGCCAUUUUGUUGGUUUCUGGAACUAAGGUAAUGAUUAAUAGGGAUAAUUGGGGGGAUUCGUAUUAACGGGUCAGAGGUGGAAUUCUUGGAUUGCGUUACGACGAACUACUGCGAAAGCAUUUGCCAAGGAUGUUUUCCUUGAUCAAGAACGAAAGUAUGGGGAUCGAAGAUGAUUAGAUACCGUCCUAGUCUAUACCAUAAACUAUGGCGACUAGAAAUUGGAGGUCGUUCUUUUUAUGACUUUUUCCGCACCUUAUGAGAAACCCAAGUUUUUGGGUUCCGGGGGGAGUAUG